GCAAGACUGGCAUGGAAUCAAACAGAACGCUUAACCCGAACCCUGCCUUUGUGCCCACCGAAGGAACAGAUCAGCAUCAAGCUCAAGAUUAAUAUUGGACAACUCAUCCUGUGUGUAUAAAUAUCUGAAAUGAUCCUCCCGCACACCCACCAAGAUAGAGGGAGAAAAGCAAGGAGGACAAUUAAUCAAGUGUGAGGCUAUGAGAUGCCAAAACAAGGUUGAGUUCUUUGAUUCAGACGCCGCAAUCAAACGGUGCCAGAAAGCUCCAACCGCUUCCCUUUUCUUAUUUUGUAGCAACAUAUUACUUUUUCAGAGCUAAUAAAUCCUGAGUAGAGCAGAA
Molecule: long non-coding RNA, 340 nt
Organism: Hemicordylus capensis (graceful crag lizard)
Lineage: Eukaryota; Metazoa; Chordata; Lepidosauria; Squamata; Cordylidae
Exons: 2
Source: RefSeq, a predicted model, not a curated record